GAUGAACGCUGGCGGCGUGCCUAAUACAUGCAAGUCGAGCGAACGGACGAGAAGCUUGCUUCUCUGAUGUUAGCGGCGGACGGGUGAGUAACACGUGGAUAACCUACCUAUAAGACUGGGAUAACUUCGGGAAACCGGAGCUAAUACCGGAUAAUAUUUUGAACCGCAUGGUUCAAAAGUGAAAGACGGUCUUGCUGUCACUUAUAGAUGGAUCCGCGCUGCAUUAGCUAGUUGGUAAGGUAACGGCUUACCAAGGCAACGAUGCAUAGCCGACCUGAGAGGGUGAUCGGCCACACUGGAACUGGAACACGGUCCAGACGCCUACGGGAGGCAGCAGUAGGGAAUCUUCCGCAAUGGGCGAAAGCCUGACGGAGCAACGCCGCGUGAGUGAUGAAGGUCUUCGGAUCGUAAAACUCUGUUAUUAGGGAAGAACAUAUGUGUAAGUAACUGUGCACAGCUUGACGGUACCUAAUCAGAAAGCCACGGCUAACUACGUG
RNAcentral lists this ribosomal RNA (497 nucleotides) under uncultured bacterium. RNAcentral describes it as "partial 16S ribosomal RNA". It matches the Rfam family "Bacterial small subunit ribosomal RNA", at positions 28 to 507 of the family's 1533-position model. The record is from RNAcentral.